CAGCCAGCGCUCUCUAGAAUAUCUAGUUUGAAAGAAAACUGAGAAGUGUCACCUCCAGGACGAUGUGACAAUCUGUAUGCAGAACAGGUUAAACAAAAUACUAGGAGCGAAUCCUACAAUUUAAAUAAAGCAUUGAAUGGUUCCAUUUAAGAUAGUUUAGAUGCUAACCUGUUUACAGGACAACUUCAAAACAACUGGGGAUUAACACUGCUCCAUUCCCCUCCCCCAGGCUCAUCUGAAUUCUAAGUAUAGACCCAUGAUGAAAGAUUUCAAAGGCAAUAGCCAUUGCUCCAAAAUAGCCUGGUUAGUAUUUGCAGAGUGGUUCAGCUCUUUUCUCUGUCCUGCCUGUCAAAAAGAUGCCAUUCCUGUGAUUAAAACUAUUACAGUCCUUCAAAGGUUAUACAUGACUUUCAGGCUUCAGCCUCAAUAGCAGCAGAUGGUACUAAUUUGAACACAUCAUUCCAUGCUUCCUGGAGUAAUCACACAGCUUGCUUAGAUUUUCUAAACAUGACUGAACUGUGAUGAAGCGAUCAACAUUCACUGGCAAGCAAAACUGCCUUACAGGGUGAAACACUGUGGUGAAAAUGCCCACAGCAAAGAUUCUUACUUAGAACCAUUAAAUGUAUCCCCAUGUAUGAACUUCUGCUUUGAAGAAGGUGGAAGAGAUGUUUUAAUCCUACUCCUUCCACUAAAUGCAAUUAAAACCAUGGACAUUAAAUAUAAUGCAAGCAUAAGAAGACUCUGAAAGAUGGAGAGAAGGCAGAGCAACUAGGGAAAUCAGGACCCAAGAAACAAUACAGUGGCAACUAUAAUGGCUUUUACGCUUUCAGCAAUUACUUACUGUUCUCUAAGACUCUGCUCCUGUCAAAUAAUCAAGAUCAUUUUACCUGAUGCUAAAAAACCUGAUGCAGACCAUCUGCCUGGAUUUGAACAUAUUUCCUUCUGCCAGAUUUUGCAUAGCAAUGGUCUGCUACCCACCUACUGGGGAAAUACCUAUCACUCCUUUUGGACCUCUUUGACACUGCCUGUCCUGGCUGCGACAUAUCACCAGCAAUCAGAGUUCAUGGCUGCUUAAAAAGAUACAAAGAAGUAAGAAUGGACAGUGUUAUAAUCAACAGGCAGUCAACAGUUUCUAUUAAGUUGCCAGAUUGAAGGAAAGACGCAUAAAUCUUCAGAGAACAGAGAACAGCCAUCUCUGUGAGCAACCCUGCAGCUCUGAUGAGUCACUCCCUCCAUGCAUGAGAAGGCCUACGUUUGACACUGCUAUAAUCUUUUGGUUUUAACUGGUGUAGUUUAAAGAUCUGUUUUGUCCGUAUUACUUUGAAAUACUAUAAUAGGGAUAUUAUAUGUUCCAUUAGAGUGUUUUAUUUCCAUUUAUAAAAGUGUAUGCUCUUCUAUAUCUUGACCUUGUUUUGCUUUACUUAUGUGAUGACAAUGAUCUACAUCAUUAUUUUUUUGUAAUUGCCUAAUUUGGAUGUAUCAUAGUUAUUCAGCCAUUCUGCUGUAAAAUUAACACUUAGGUUGCUUCCCACCCCUCUUUUAGUUACUAACUGUGACACAGCAAUCAUUCUUAUACAAAUAUCUUUUCAUAAUGGUCCUUGGAUUUCUGUAGGUUAAAUUCCCAGUGGUGUAAUUAUUACAUCAAAUGGGUUGAUUUUUUUUUAAUUUUAAUGAUUACUGUUCUAAAAGUUGUUUCUGUUCCAAAUUAUAAAUUAUUAUAAUUUAGAACCACAACAAUGUGUGAGAGCACACCUUUGGCAAACUCUCAUUACUAGUCUGGAUAUUAAUCUUAAUUACUGCAAACUUGACUCAAAAAAUAUUUUUAAUCUGCAUAUCCCUAACCAUUUGUGAGACAGAAUAGCUUUUAUAUGUAUAUUGGUCAUUUGUGGCCCUUUUUUGCAUAACGUAUGCACUUUCUUUUCUAUAUUUUAUUGUAGUGUCUUAAAUGGAGAAUAUAUAUUAGAGUAGAAAGGCACGUUUUUAAUAUUUAUUUAGUUUUGAGAGAGAAAG
Long non-coding RNA from Leopardus geoffroyi (Geoffroy's cat), 2010 nucleotides. RefSeq lists it as uncharacterized. The record is from RefSeq and is a predicted model, not a curated record. NCBI's taxonomy places the organism in Eukaryota, Metazoa, Chordata, Mammalia, Carnivora, Felidae. The transcript is spliced from 7 exons.